GUGCUCACUUUGACAGCACAUAUACUAAAAUUGGAAUGACAGAGAUUAGUAUGGCCUCUGCGCAAGGAUGACACACAAGUUCGUGAAGUGUUCCAUUUUUUU
Saimiri boliviensis boliviensis (Bolivian squirrel monkey) is the source of this 102-nucleotide small nuclear RNA. The record is from Ensembl. Lineage: Eukaryota; Metazoa; Chordata; Mammalia; Primates; Cebidae.